Molecule: transfer RNA, 76 nt
Filed under: Aquisalimonas asiatica
Lineage: Bacteria; Pseudomonadati; Pseudomonadota; Gammaproteobacteria; Chromatiales; Ectothiorhodospiraceae
Also listed under: 15 other names
Description: tRNA_Lys_TTT
Rfam family: tRNA
About the family: Transfer RNA (tRNA) molecules are approximately 80 nucleotides in length. Their secondary structure includes four short double-helical elements and three loops (D, anti-codon, and T loops).
Source: RNAcentral
GGGUCGUUAGCUCAGUUGGUAGAGCAUCGGACUUUUAAUCCGCUGGUCGCAGGUUCGAAUCCUGCACGACCCACCA